RNAcentral lists this ribosomal RNA (446 nucleotides) under uncultured bacterium. RNAcentral describes it as "partial 16S ribosomal RNA". It matches the Rfam family "Bacterial small subunit ribosomal RNA", at positions 338 to 795 of the family's 1533-position model. The record is from RNAcentral.
CCUACGGGGCGCAGCAGUCGAGAAUUAUUCACAAUGGGGGAAACCCUGAUGGUGCGACGCCGCGUGGGGGAAUGAAGGUCUUCGGAUUGUAAACCCCUGUCAUGUGGGAGCAAAUUAAAAAGAUAGUACCACAAGAGGAAGAGACGGCUAACUCUGUGCCAGCAGCCGCGGUAAUACAGAGGUCUCAAGCGUUGUUCGGAAUCACUGGGCGUAAGGCGUGCGUAGGCUGUUUCGUAAGUCGUGUGUGAAAGGCGCGGGCUCAACCCGCGGACGACACAUGAUACUGCGAGACUAGAGUAAUGGAGGGGGAACCGGAAUUCUCGGUGUAGCAGUGAAAUGCGUAGAUAUCGAGAGGAACACUCGUGGCGAAGGCGGGUUCCUGGACAUUAACUGACGCUGAGGCACGAAGGCCAGGGGAGCGAAAGGGAUUAGAUACCCCUGUAGUC